RNAcentral lists this ribosomal RNA (938 nucleotides) under Arthonia dispersa. RNAcentral's name for it is "LSU rRNA". The stretch from base 1 to 584 matches the Rfam family "Bacterial large subunit ribosomal RNA", at positions 894 to 1301 of the family's 2925-position model. The record is from RNAcentral. Lineage: Eukaryota; Fungi; Ascomycota; Arthoniomycetes; Arthoniales; Arthoniaceae.
CUUAGCAGGUACAUAAUGGGCUCUCUGACAAAGUGUAUAUUUAUAUAUGCUUUGUGCACAUCGGGGAAUUUGCGAAAAUUUUAUCGGUGAGUAGACAACAUCGGAAUGGCAAAGAUAUUUAUUGAAUAGUCGGACAUAAUAUGAGAAGGUAGUAUGUCUAAAGGGAAACAGCCCAGAACAAGAGUUAAUAAGGUUCCAAAAUUAUUAUUAAGUGAAAAAAAGGAAGUUGUUAUUUCAUACGGCCAGUUAAUAGGCUUAGAAGCGGCCAAUUUUUGAUGAUCUCGUAAUAGAGCACUGGUUAAUUAAAUUGCAUAAUUUAAUAGAAAAACAUAUAACGGCGCCGAAAAUUUAACGGAUCUAAAUAAUAUACCGAAACCUUGUCCAUAUUUAUUGAUAGUGACAGAGUCAGACAUGUUUACUGGCUUUCCAGGUUAUUAGAUUAAUUUAUAGUCUAAAAAUCCCAAAUAAAGCUGAAGAAUUGAUAGAUGGAAUAUUAAUAAGUAUGGGGUAGCGGAACGUAGGGUAAAUCUAAGAUUAUUUCUAUUUUAGAAAAAAAAUAAGAUAACCCUAGUGAGAAUGCUGACAUGAGUAACGAAAAAGGAAUUUAUAGUGUAAUUUAUUUUACACUAUUGAAUCCUCGCCUUAAGCUUAUGACUAAACUAAAAGUUACGGCCUCUAAGUAAAAAAUCCCAAAGGAUUUAACGAUGAGAAAAUACUAUUUUAUAUAUAAGACCUUUUUAACUACUUGGUGUAACUUAAAGUAAGUAAAGUGAAAAGCCGAAUAGGAUGAUACUAAGCUUACUUUAAGUGUAAUCUUACACAAAAAGAGGUUUAAAGUAAGAAGAGUUCAGGAAAUAUAUAUAUAAUAAAUUAAAAUACCGUUUCUAGAAACUUUGAAGGUAAGCUAGUGUAGUAUACGAAGGCGCAANAGUCAACAU